This 1051-nucleotide long non-coding RNA is filed under the name Apteryx owenii (little spotted kiwi). RNAcentral's name for it is "lncRNA (ENSAOWG00000007525.1)". The record is from RNAcentral. Lineage: Eukaryota; Metazoa; Chordata; Aves; Apterygiformes; Apterygidae.
CCGGGCGGAGGACGGAGCCGGAUGGGCGCGGGGGGCCCGUCGAGUGUAAAUAGCGGCGUUGCCUGGAUCCCUGCCUGCUCGGAGAAGGACCCUGCGGGAUGCUCGGAGCAGGGACCCUAAGCCAGCAGCACUCUGGGCCCCGGGAGAGGAAGCCCUCGCCUCCCGGACUGGCUGACCAGCAUCUUCCUCGUUCCUGCCCCGCGUCGGCGCCAGCCCCUGGGGACACCGGGGCCCCUUCGCCGCGCGACCGCUGCAGCGACGGAGCCCCUUCCCCUCCGCUCUCCGGCGCCCCUUGCAUCUGCCCUUGCCUCGCUCCAGGGCUCGCCAGCCUCCGGCCUUCCCACGCGCCCAGCCGAAAAGCUCAGCUCCUGGGGAAACCCGACCCGGCCCCCGAACUGCAUCUGUCGCCGGCCCUGCUCUUGUCCCCGCUCCUCUCUGCGUGACCGGCCGCCUCGUCCCCAGGCUGCACGAUGCUCCCGGGGAGGAUGGCGGAUGCGGCGGAGGGGCUGCAAGCGCCCCCGGACUUCCUCCGGGUCCGAACAAAAGCACAAGGGACUCUGGCCCCCAGCUGUCACCCGCCGUCCCCCCCUGCCGCCGGGCGCGGCUGGCACGUGGCCACGGCGGGACUCGAACCCCCGGACUUGGACGCAGCCUGGCCACGCUGCUUGGAGCGAGCGGGCGGAGGAGCCCGGCGCCCCGGCGCCUCCGUCUCCCUGAGGAUAUUCCCGCCGCCUUCGCCCGGAGGAACAGGAGCGUGCGCGCAUGUGCCGGGUGGUGGCUAAAUCCGCUCGGGAAGGGGGAGCGCGGGCAGGGCCGCUCCGAGCCCUGCCGCCGCCGGCGUUGCUUUCGGGCUGCAGUCGUGGUAGCCUCGUCCGUAGUGGUGUGCGGGAUGCGCCGGCAUCCAGAUGUGUCGUGCAGCCAGCUGUGCCGUGUUCGCUGUGUGCUCUAGCCGUCGUUGUGCCGCAGCGCCUCGCUUACGACUUCCCCAGAGACCCCCCCNNNNNNNNNNNNNNNNNNNNNNNNNNNNNNNNNNNNNNNNNNNNNNNNNNNN